Molecule: ribosomal RNA, 492 nt
Filed under: uncultured bacterium
Lineage: Bacteria
Description: partial 16S ribosomal RNA
Rfam family: Bacterial small subunit ribosomal RNA
Source: RNAcentral
AGUGAACGCUGGCGGCAGGCCUAACACAUGCAAGUCGAACGGCAGCACAGUAAGCGCUUGCUCUUACGGGUGGCGAGUGGCGGACGGGUGACGAAUACAUCGGCAUCUUCUUUUUCGUGGGUGAUAACGUAGGGACACUUACGCUAAUACCUCAUAUGACCUACGGGUGAAAGCAGGGGAGCUUCGGACCUUUCGCGUCUCUAUGAGCCGAUGUCGGAUUAGCUAGUUGGCGGGGUAAAGGCCUACCAAGGCGACGAUCCGUAGCUGAUCUGAGAGGAUGAUCGGCCACACUGGAACUGAGACACGGUCCAGACUCCUACGGGAGGCAGCAGUAGGGAAUAUUCGACAAUGGGCGAAAGCCUGAUCCAGCCACACCGCGUGAGUGAAGAAGGCCUUCGGGUUGUAAAGCCCUGUUGUUGGGGAAGAACAGCAGCAGGAGAAUACCUCGCUGUUUUGACGGUACCCAAAGAAUAAGCAACGGCUAACUUCGUG